This 429-nucleotide ribosomal RNA is filed under the name Triticum aestivum (bread wheat). Its description in RNAcentral is "partial small subunit ribosomal RNA". Lineage: Eukaryota; Viridiplantae; Streptophyta; Magnoliopsida; Poales; Poaceae. The record is from RNAcentral.
AUGGCCCCAUAUAGGUUUGUUGCCUUUGGAUUUCUAGGUGCUCUCAAACUGCAAAACAAAUAUUAUGGCCCAUUUCUGAUUACUCAGAGGGUUGGUAAAGUAGCUUAUAAGCUCCAAUUCUCUGAUCAUGUGAAAAUACACCUUGUCUUUCAUGCCAGUCAGUUGAAGAAGCCUAUUGGUUCUAAAUCAAUUCCCAGCCCCAAUUUACCCACGGUAACUGCUGAUGAUACUGUCAAGACUGGCCCUGCAAUGGUUCUUCAAGUCAGACAAGUUCCUAGAAAUAAUUUACCUGUUGUGUAGUGGUACAUUCAGUGGAAUCUGCCGCCAGAAGAUGCAACGUGGGAGGAUGCAGAUUUCAUUAAGUACAUAUUUCCAGAGUUCUUCAAAGUGACCACACAGUCAUGGCAUGCUCAGCAACAAUUGCCGUGA